Molecule: ribosomal RNA, 253 nt
Filed under: uncultured bacterium
Lineage: Bacteria
Description: partial 16S ribosomal RNA
Rfam family: Bacterial small subunit ribosomal RNA
Source: RNAcentral
UACAGAGGUCUCAAGCGUUGUUCGGAUUCAUUGGGCGUAAAGGGUGCGUAGGCGGCGCGGUAAGUCGGGUGUGAAAUCUCGGAGCUUAACUCCGAAACUGCAUUCGAUACUGCCGUGCUUGAGGACUGGAGAGGAGACUGGAAUUUACGGUGUAGCGGUGAAAUGCGUAGAUAUCAUGAGGAAGACCAGUGGCGAAGGCGGGUCUCUGGACAGUAACUGACGCUGAGGAGCGAAAGCGUGGGGAGCGAACAGG